This 1316-nucleotide ribosomal RNA is filed under the name uncultured rumen bacterium. RNAcentral describes it as "partial 16S ribosomal RNA". It matches the Rfam family "Bacterial small subunit ribosomal RNA", at positions 43 to 1375 of the family's 1533-position model. The record is from RNAcentral.
CAGGCCUAACACAUGCAAGUCGAACGGAGAUAUUUGAGUUUACUUAGAUAUCUUAGUGGCGGACGGGUGAGUAACACGUGAGCAACCUGCCUCUGAGAGGGGGAUAGCUUCUGGAAACGGAUGGUAAUACCCCAUAACAUAACUGAAAGACAUCUUUUAGUUAUCAAAGAUUUAUCACUCAGAGAUGGGCUCGCGUCUGAUUAGCUAGAUGGUGAGGUAACGGCCCACCAUGGCGACGAUCAGUAGCCGGACUGAGAGGUUGAACGGCCACAUUGGGACUGAGACACGGCCCAGACUCCUACGGGAGGCAGCAGUGGGGAAUAUUGCACAAUGGGGGAAACCCUGAUGCAGCGAUGCCGCGUGGAGGAAGAAGGUUUUCGGAUUGUAAACUCCUGUCUUAAAGGACGAUAAUGACGGUACUUUAGGAGGAAGCUCCGGCUAACUACGUGCCAGCAGCCGCGGUAAUACGUAGGGAGCGAGCGUUGUCCGGAAUUACUGGGUGUAAAGGGAGCGUAGGCGGGAUUGCAAGUCAGAUGUGAAAGGCGGGAGCUUAACUCCCGAGCUGCAUUUGAAACUAGAGAGCUUGAGUGAAGUAGAGGCAGGCGGAAUUCCCUGUGUAGCGGUGAAAUGCGUAGAGAUAGGGAGGAACACCAGUGGCGAAGGCGGCCUGCUGGGCUUUAACUGACGCUGAGGCACGAAAGCGUGGGUAGCAAACAGGAUUAGAUACCCUGGUAGUCCACGCGGUAAACGAUGAAUACUAGGUGUUGGCAUCCAAAGGAUGUCGGUGCCGGCGCAAACGCAUUAAGUAUUCCACCUGGGGAGUACGUUCGCAAGAAUGAAACUCAAAGGAAUUGACGGGGACCCGCACAAGCAGUGGAGCAUGUGGUUUAAUUCGAAGCAACGCGAAGAACCUUACCAGGUCUUGACACGGAGAUGACCGGCUGGUAACGCAGCCUUUCCUUCGGGACAUCUCACACAGGUGGUGCAUGGUUGUCGUCAGCUCGUGUCGUGAGAUGUUGGGUUAAGUCCCGCAACGAGCGCAACCCUUAUUGCCAGUAGCCAGCAGGUAAAGCUGGGCACUCUGGCGAGACUGCCCGGGAUAACCGGGAGGAAGGUGGGGAUGACGUCAAAUCAUCAUGCCCCUUACGAUCUGGGCAACACACGUGCUACAAUGGCGUAAACAGAGAGAAGCGAACCUGCGAGGGGGAGCAAAUCUUCAAAUAACGUCUCAGUUCGGACUGUAGUCUGCAACCCGACUACACGAAGCUGGAAUUGCUAGUAAUCGCGAAUCAGCAUGUCGCGGUGAAUACGUUCCC